UUUCUCUUGGGCCUUAACAUGUGAUCAAUUGGAUCUAAUAAUUGAUGAAAUCAUCAACACCAAAUUAUUAUUUUUUAUCAAAAAUAAAUAAAUCAAAAUAAUUAUUUUAUCUUUUCCUUAUUCAUUUUUCUUAAAAAAAACAAAUAAAAGAGAAUUAAAUCGAACCAUGUGCCAACAUGCAAAAAAAAAACAAAUAAAUGCAUUAAAGUAAUG
Molecule: long non-coding RNA, 213 nt
Filed under: Lathyrus oleraceus (garden pea)
Lineage: Eukaryota; Viridiplantae; Streptophyta; Magnoliopsida; Fabales; Fabaceae
Description: Pisum sativum (pea) long non-coding RNA (PSAT_LNC035938)
Source: RNAcentral